UGCAUUAUAAAAUGGUCAUUCAAAAUUUUUCGUAAUAACAAAGAAACGUUAUUGUAUACUUCUUGUUCGAUUGGACUCACUACCUUCUACGACUUCCCUUAUGCAAAAUCAGUUUUCCAAAAGUUUGAAGUCUUUUAAGUUCUGAGUUUGGGUUAAUUGUAGGGGUUUUGCGUCUUAUUGGAGUCACAGGAAGCUCUAUAGGGCUAAGUUUUCUCAACGGUGAGGAUGAGUCUGCAUUAAAAUAAAAAGCUUCUGCAGCAUCAUAUUGGUUACUUGCUGAUUCUUCAAGAGAUAUGAAAGAACGGUUUUUACUCACAGAAAGAGAAUCCACUGAUGUGUAAGGCGAGUAACCCCUCGAUGCAUCAAUAACGUUGAUACUUUCCGUAGAAACAUUAGACACGUUGUUGAUUUCUGUAUGACAUGAUUCUUUUUUCACUUUGUAAGGAGGUGAUCUAAUUGUAUUAGAAUGUGAUGGAUGCUUGUUUUUUGAAGUAGUGGGACCGGUUUUUGAAAAAGUAUAGCUGACUAUUUCAUCCUCUUCUAAAUAGUCUGGUAAUCGGUAAUUAUUUUGUGAAAGUAAUUUAUUAUUGUCACUUAAAUUAUAUUUUAAGCAUUCAAAGCCCAUCGGAGAAUCCUCUAUACUAUAAGUCGACAUAUUUAACGUAGGAUCUGAAGUUUUUAAUAUCAUCAAUCUUGCAGAAUCAUGUCUUAGUUUACUCAAUGCUUCUUCAGCUCGCAAUGGCAAAGGAAGAGAUUCAAAUAAUUGUUCAAAUUUCACUUGGAUUCGAUCUUCUUUUGGUGCAUUAUUUAUGAACGCGUGCGAUUCACUUUGUUCCAACAUUUUGCCAUGCGAUUUAUCUUUUUAAAGAUAUGACUUUAGGUUAAAAUGAAGUUUAACAAAGUUUUGAGAUUUGGAUAAAUCCAACUUUUCAAUAAUUGCUUCAUUUAGGUGUUAAGGCUCAAGAAAAUUGGUUAGUGAAGAAGGUAAAUAAAAUCAACGAUAUAUAUACUGUAGGUGCUUGCAAAAAAUGUCUUCAAUGAAAAACCUAGGA
Non-coding RNA from Schizosaccharomyces pombe (fission yeast), 1052 nucleotides. The record is from the annotation of a GenBank genome assembly. NCBI's taxonomy places the organism in Eukaryota, Fungi, Ascomycota, Schizosaccharomycetes, Schizosaccharomycetales, Schizosaccharomycetaceae.